Molecule: ribosomal RNA, 497 nt
Filed under: uncultured bacterium
Lineage: Bacteria
Description: partial 16S ribosomal RNA
Rfam family: Bacterial small subunit ribosomal RNA
Source: RNAcentral
GAUGAACGCUGGCGGCGUGCCUAAUACAUGCAAGUCGAGCGAACAGACGAGGAGCUUGCUCCUCUGACGUUAGCGGCGGACGGGUGAGUAACACGUGGAUAACCUACCUAUCAGACUGGGAUAACUUCGGGAAACCGGAGCUAAUACCGGAUAAUAUAUUGAACCGCAUGGUUCAAUAGUGAAAGACGGCUUUGCUGUCACUUAUAGCUGGAUCCGCGCCGCAUUAGCUAGUUGUUAAGGUAACGGCUUACCAAGGCGACGAUGCGUAGCCGACCUGAGAGGGGGAUCGGCCACACUGGAACUGAGACGCGGUCCAGACUCCUACGGGAGGCAGCAGUAGGGAAUCUUCCGCAAUGGGCGAAAGCCUGACGGAGCAACGCCGCGUGAGUGAUGAAGGUCUUCGGAUCGUAAAACUCUGUUAUUAGGGAAGAACAAAUGUGGAAGUAACUAUGCACGUCUUGACGGUACCGAAUCAGAAAGCCACGGCUAACUACGUG